RNAcentral lists this ribosomal RNA (372 nucleotides) under uncultured organism. RNAcentral's name for it is "bacterial SSU rRNA". It matches the Rfam family "Bacterial small subunit ribosomal RNA", at positions 526 to 896 of the family's 1533-position model. The record is from RNAcentral.
CGUAGGGGGCUAGCGUUGUCCGGAUUUAUUGGGCGUAAAGAGCGUGUAGGCGGCCAGGUAGGUCCGGUGUGAAAACUCGAGGCUUAACCUCGAGAUGUCAUCGGAAACCAUCUGGCUAGAGUCCGGAAGAGGAAAGUGGAAUUCCUGGUGUAGCGGUGAAAUGCGCAGAUAUCAGGAAGAACACCAAUGGCGAAAGCAGCUUUCUGGGACGGUACUGACGCUGAGACGCGAAAGCGUGGGGAGCGAACAGGAUUAGAUACCCUGGUAGUCCACGCCGUAAACGAUGGGCGCUAGGUGUGGGCGGUGUCGACUCCGUCCGUGCCGAAGCUAACGCAUUAAGCGCCCCGCCUGGGGAGUACGGCUGCAAGGCUA